Non-coding RNA from Haemorhous mexicanus (house finch), 315 nucleotides. RefSeq annotates it as small Cajal body-specific RNA 2. The record is from RefSeq and is a predicted model, not a curated record. Lineage: Eukaryota; Metazoa; Chordata; Aves; Passeriformes; Fringillidae. The transcript has a single exon.
CAUCGACGGUAGAUAAAGGGCUGGACCGGAAGUGGCUCUGGCUGUGCGCGCGUGUGUGUGCGGGUGUGUGUGUGCGCGUGUCCGUGUGCGCGUGUCCGUGUGUGCGCGUGUGCGUGUCCGUCCGUGUGUGUGUGUGAGGCGUCAGCCACGCUCCUUCCCUACACGUUGAUCUUAUUCGAUCGGCCGGGCUCCGCCGGGCCGAGGUGAGAAGAAAGCGCUGCGAAGCCCUCGGGCGCUGUGCGGCUGGGCCGGGCGGGAUGAGUCGAUCAGAUAGGCGAGGCCACGGCCGCUGAGCGCCCUGCGAUUCUGACCCGC